RNAcentral lists this ribosomal RNA (492 nucleotides) under uncultured bacterium. Its description in RNAcentral is "partial 16S ribosomal RNA". It matches the Rfam family "Bacterial small subunit ribosomal RNA", at positions 29 to 507 of the family's 1533-position model. The record is from RNAcentral.
AGUGAACGCUGGCGGUAGGCCUAACACAUGCAAGUCGAACGGCAGCACAGUAAGAGCUUGCUCUUACGGGUGGCGAGUGGCGGACGGGUGAGGAAUACAUCGGAAUCUACUUUUUCGUGGGGGAUAACGUAGGGAAACUUACGCUAAUACCGCAUACGACCUACGGGUGAAAGCAGGGGAUCUUCGGACCUUGCGCGAUUGAAUGAGCCGAUGUCGGCUUAGCUAGUGUGCGGGGUAAAGGCCCACCAAGGCGACGAUCCGUAGCUGGUCUGAGAGGAUGAUCAGCCACACUGGAACUGAGACACGGUCCAGACUCCUACGGGAGGCAGCAGUGGGGAAUAUUGGACAAUGGGCGCAAGCCUGAUCCAGCCAUACCGCGUGGGUGAAGAAGGCCUUCGGGUUGUAAAGCCCUUUUGUUGGGAAAGAAAAGCAGCAGGUUAAUACCCCGCUGUUCUGACGGUACCCAAAGAAUAAGCACCGGCUAACUUCGUG